UACGAAGGGGGCUAGCGUUGUUCGGAUUUACUGGGCGUAAAGCGCACGUAGGCGGCUCUUUAAGUCAGGGGUGAAAUCCUGGAGCUCAACUCCAGAACUGCCCUUGAUACUGAGGAGCUUGAGUCCGGGAGAGGUGAGUGGAACUGCGAGUGUAGAGGUGAAAUUCGUAGAUAUUCGCAAGAACACCAGUGGCGAAGGCGGCUCACUGGCCCGGUACUGACGCUGAGGUGCGAAAGCGUGGGGAGCAAACAGG
This 253-nucleotide ribosomal RNA is filed under the name uncultured bacterium. Its description in RNAcentral is "partial 16S ribosomal RNA". It matches the Rfam family "Bacterial small subunit ribosomal RNA", at positions 524 to 776 of the family's 1533-position model. The record is from RNAcentral.